RNAcentral lists this small nucleolar RNA (74 nucleotides) under Millerozyma farinosa CBS 7064. RNAcentral describes it as "Piso0_000459". The record is from RNAcentral. Lineage: Eukaryota; Fungi; Ascomycota; Pichiomycetes; Serinales; Debaryomycetaceae.
UCUCAUGAUGAUUUUAUCUUAACAACCUUAUCUACAUUAUCUGAACAGUUAGAUGAAAAGCAUAAUCUGAAAGA